RNAcentral lists this ribosomal RNA (253 nucleotides) under uncultured bacterium. RNAcentral's name for it is "partial 16S ribosomal RNA". It matches the Rfam family "Bacterial small subunit ribosomal RNA", at positions 524 to 776 of the family's 1533-position model. The record is from RNAcentral.
UACGUAGGGUGCAAGCGUUAUCCGGAAUUAUUGGGCGUAAAGAGCUCGUAGGCGGUUUGUCGCGUCUGCUGUGAAAACCCGAGGCUCAACCUCGGGCCUGCAGUGGGUACGGGCAGACUAGAGUGCGGUAGGGGAGAAUGGAAUUCCUGGUGUAGCGGUGGAAUGCGUAGAGAUCCGGAAGAACACCGGUGGCGAAGGCGGUGAGCUGGGCAGUUGCUGGCACUGAGGCGCGACAGCGUGGGGAGCAAACAGG